GCCUGGGGAGUACGGCCGCAAGGUUAAAACUCAAAUGAAUUGACGGGGGCCCGCACAAGCGGUGGAGCAUGUGGUUUAAUUCGAUGCAACGCGAAGAACCUUACCUGGUCUUGACAUCCACAGAACUUAGCAGAGAUGCUUUGGUGCCUUCGGGAACUGUGAGACAGGUGCUGCAUGGCUGUCGUCAGCUCGUGUUGUGAAAUGUUGGGUUAAGUCCCGCAACGAGCGCAACCCUUAUCCUUUGUUGCCAGCGGUCCGGCCGGGAACU
Molecule: ribosomal RNA, 268 nt
Filed under: Klebsiella pneumoniae
Lineage: Bacteria; Pseudomonadati; Pseudomonadota; Gammaproteobacteria; Enterobacterales; Enterobacteriaceae
Description: partial 16S ribosomal RNA
Rfam family: Bacterial small subunit ribosomal RNA
Source: RNAcentral